RNAcentral lists this long non-coding RNA (1470 nucleotides) under Equus caballus (horse). Its description in RNAcentral is "lncRNA (ENSECAG00000055214.1)". Lineage: Eukaryota; Metazoa; Chordata; Mammalia; Perissodactyla; Equidae. The record is from RNAcentral.
UACCACUCCUGAAUAUUGCCUUAACUAUGGAUUUCUUGUUCCUAAGAUUUAUGCCUUUUUUCUUUCUUCAUUGUCACUUUAGGAUAGUUUCAGAAGGAGGCUGAAAUAAACAGGUGUGUUUAUAUAAUAGAUCAUCUUUUAUUACAUAUUUGACUUGGAAAACAUAGGAACUAAAUCUGCUAAGUAAUAUGCAUCACCCUUCUGGGUAAUGCUGUUUUUUGUCAAAUGCAAACUGUGAUGUGAAAUAAUGAGAUUGGCUUUCUGAUGUGGCUCAUAAUCCACCUCCAAAGGCAAUUUAAAGAAAUCAGUGUCAAAAUGUUUUGAGCAAUAGCUGCCUAACCUCCGAGUGUCUAACCUCCAAGGGGGACUACUUUGUAGGGGACAAUGCUCCUUUAGAUGUUUUAAUUCUGGUUUUGUCUCAACGUCGAUUUUUUACUUGGCUCAGAUAAUGCUUCAAAAUUGCUCUUUAGCUGUUUCUCUUGGGUGUGUUUUGUUGGGGAAAUCCUUAACUCCACCAUGGAGCUCUGUGACUCUCCAAGAGUGGCCAUUGAAACACCUCUAUCAAAACCAUUUGGGAAAUUAGUAAAAAUGCACCUUCCUGAGCCCCAACUCAGGCCAGAUUGAACCUGAAUAUCUGGAGGGUGUUAGCCUGGAAUUAGAUUUUUAACAAGCAUCCAGGUGAUUUUUAUGCACAGUAAAGUCUGAGAACCACUGCUUUAACUUUUUAUGUGAUUUGUAGUAACCUCCCCUCCACCUUAUAUUUGUUGGGCCAGGAGCAAGGGUACAAAUGGAGGCUCAUAUUCCCUAUGUCUAAAUAUUUCUAAAUCAAUCAAUUAAAAAGUUAUAAAUUAAUGUAAAAAUUGUUACAAAGAAUAAAUUCCUUUCUUUUAGUUUCAGAGUUAUCCCUUCAUAACAACUUGGAAGGACAUUUUCAAAUGUAGCAUUCUCAAGCUUCUCAAGGUUCCAGCUAGGACAUGGAAAUGUGGAACGAGCUGACUCCAUCCUCUGGCUUCCAGCUUAUGGCUUGUCUCUCUUCUCUUCCAUCCCAGUUCAGAUUCUCACUACAAGAAGAAACUAUGUGUUCUGUUUUGCAGAGGUCGCUGUCCCCAUUUUGCAGAUAUAGCUGGAAACCUGCUGAGAAACUUACACAUUUAAAGCCAAGACCCCUGCAAAGUGUUCCAGCCCCAAGCGUCCUAAACUUACCUUAAAUUCAUUAGCAUCUUAAAUUCUCCUCCUCUGGGAGGGUCCAAACAGCCAUUUUUAGAUGAUGCAAUGUAUGUAAUAGUAUGUUUACCUGCUACAACAGUUCCACAGUUGUUCCACAGUUGUUACCCAGUUGUUACAAAUAAACAUUGUAUCUUCUGCUUUCUUCUGUAUAAAGUCUCCAGCCCUGGGCUCGGAGAGACACUGCAUUGAGAGCUAUCCCUGGUGUUCUCCACUGCAUGUGCAAACAAUAAACCUUUUCCUCAC